GAUAAGCGGUUGUCGAAGCCGUAAAAAAUAAACCUAUUAAACAAUCAACAAUUAACUUGUAGAUAGUGGCAAUAGGGUCGAACCACAGGGAUUUGACACUACGGAUUUUCCUACUAAUGACUUGGACAAGUAAAUAACAAGAAAUUAAAAGAGGGGGGUUUUGUUUUGAUGAUUAAAACUAAAUAGCAAGAGAAAGCAAUAAUUUAAAUAGAUGAGAAUUU
RNAcentral lists this long non-coding RNA (221 nucleotides) under Manihot esculenta (cassava). Its description in RNAcentral is "long non-coding RNA (MESC_LNC011637)". The record is from RNAcentral. Lineage: Eukaryota; Viridiplantae; Streptophyta; Magnoliopsida; Malpighiales; Euphorbiaceae.